This 454-nucleotide ribosomal RNA is filed under the name Pheretima sp. Apo1. RNAcentral's name for it is "partial 16S rRNA". It matches the Rfam family "Bacterial large subunit ribosomal RNA", at positions 1836 to 2597 of the family's 2925-position model. The record is from RNAcentral. Lineage: Eukaryota; Metazoa; Annelida; Clitellata; Crassiclitellata; Megascolecidae.
UGUCUUAUGAUAUAAGAUAAUUCCUGCCCAGUGACCUGUUCAACGGCCGCGGUACCCUAACCGUGCAAAGGUAGCAUAAUCACUUGCCUAUUAAUUGUAGGCUAGAAUGAAAGGAUCAACGAAAUAAAAACUGUCUCAGUUAGUUACCUAAAAAUUAUUCUCUAUCUGAAGAAAGGUAGAUUCUCGAAGGACAAGAAGACCCUAUAGAGCUUCAUUUUAAUUAUAGAGUAUAAGAAUAUUCGGUUGGGGCGACCCAGGGCUAAAUAAUCACCCUCAUAAAAGAUCCAUAGAUCAUGACCCUAAAGAUCAUAAGACCAAGCUACCUUAGGGAUAACAGGCUAAUCCCACUCAAGAGUCCUUAUCAACAGUGGGGUUUGGCACCUCGAUGUUGGCUUAGGGUAUCUAUGUAGCGCAAAAGUUAUAUAAAGAUGGUUUGUUCAACCAAUAAUUCCCU